AAUAGAUACCCGGGUAGUCCACGCCGUAAACGAUGAGUGCUAAGUGUUAGAGGGUUUCCGCCCUUUAGUGCUGAAGUUAACGCAUUAAGCACUCCGCCUGGGGAGUACGGCCGCAAGGCUGAAACUCAAAGGAAUUGACGGGGGCCCGCACAAGCGGUGGAGCAUGUGGUUUAAUUCGAAGCAACGCGAAGAACCUUACCAGGUCUUGACAUCCUCUGAAAACCCUAGAGAUAGGGCUUCUCCUUCGGGAGCAGAGUGACAGGUGGUGCAUGGUUGUCGUCAGCUCGUGUCGUGAGAUGUUGGGUUAAGUCCCGCAACGAGCGCAACCCUUGAUCUUAGUUGCCAUCAUUAAGUUGGGCACUCUAAGGUGACUGCCGGUGACAAACCGGAGGAAGGUGGGGAUGACGUCAAAUCAUCAUGCCCCUUAUGACCUGGGCUACACACGUGCUACAAUGGACGGUACAAAGAGCUGCAAGACCGCGAGGUGGAGCUAAUCUCAUAAACCGUUCUCAGUUCGGAUUGUAGG
This 526-nucleotide ribosomal RNA is filed under the name uncultured bacterium. RNAcentral describes it as "bacterial SSU rRNA". It matches the Rfam family "Bacterial small subunit ribosomal RNA", at positions 777 to 1304 of the family's 1533-position model. The record is from RNAcentral.